CCUACGGGUGGCUGCAGUAAGGAAUAUUGGUCAAUGGACGAAAGUCUGAACCAGCCAUGCCGCGUGGAGGAUGAAGGUCCUCUGGAUUGUAAACUUCUUUUAUAUGGGACGAAAAAAGGCCUUUCUAGGCCGUCUGACGGUACCAUAUGAAUAAGCACCGGCUAACUCCGUGCCAGCAGCCGCGGUAAUACGGAGGGUGCAGGCGUUAUCCGGAUUCACUGGUGUUAAGGGGGGCUGAGAUGGGUUUGUAGAAAUCUCCGAGCUUAACUUGGAAACUGCCAGUGAUACUAUUAAUCUGGAAUAUUGUGGAGGUUAGCGGAAUAUGUCAUGUAGCGGUGAAAUGCUUAGAUAUGACAUAGAACACCAAUUGCGAAGGCAGCUGGCUACACAUAUAUUGACACUGAGGCACGAAAGCGUGGGGAUCAAACAGGAUUAGAUACCCGGGUAGUC
This 450-nucleotide ribosomal RNA is filed under the name uncultured bacterium. RNAcentral describes it as "partial 16S ribosomal RNA". It matches the Rfam family "Bacterial small subunit ribosomal RNA", at positions 338 to 795 of the family's 1533-position model. The record is from RNAcentral.